GUAGUUUGAUCGUGGCUCAGAACGAACGCUGGCGGCAUGCCUAACACAUGCAAGUCGAACGAGAUCUUCGGAUCUAGUGGCGCACGGGUGCGUAACGCGUGGGAAUCUGCCCUUGGGUGCGGAAUUAACUUCUCGAAAGGGAUGCUAAAUACCGCAUAAUGUCGUAAGACCAAAGAUUUUAUCGCCCAAGGAUGAGACCCGCGUAAGA
RNAcentral lists this ribosomal RNA (208 nucleotides) under uncultured microorganism. Its description in RNAcentral is "partial 16S ribosomal RNA". It matches the Rfam family "Bacterial small subunit ribosomal RNA", at positions 9 to 240 of the family's 1533-position model. The record is from RNAcentral.